RNAcentral lists this ribosomal RNA (229 nucleotides) under uncultured bacterium. RNAcentral describes it as "partial 16S ribosomal RNA". It matches the Rfam family "Bacterial small subunit ribosomal RNA", at positions 568 to 796 of the family's 1533-position model. The record is from RNAcentral.
UGCGUAGGCGGGCUAUUAAGUCAGUGGUGAAAUCUCUCGGCUCAACCGGGAAACUGCCAUUGAUACUGUUAGUCUUGAGUUCGGUUGAGGUAGGCGGAAUGUGUAAUGUAGCGGUGAAAUGCUUAGAUAUUACACAGAACACCAAUUGCGUAGGCAGCUUACUAGACCGACACUGACGCUGAGGCACGAAAGCGUGGGGAGCGAACAGGAUUAGAUACCCUGGUAGUCC